RNAcentral lists this ribosomal RNA (465 nucleotides) under uncultured Klebsiella sp. RNAcentral describes it as "bacterial SSU rRNA". It matches the Rfam family "Bacterial small subunit ribosomal RNA", at positions 338 to 795 of the family's 1533-position model. The record is from RNAcentral. Lineage: Bacteria; Pseudomonadati; Pseudomonadota; Gammaproteobacteria; Enterobacterales; Enterobacteriaceae.
CCUACGGGUGGCUGCAGUGGGGAAUAUUGCACAAUGGGCGCAAGCCUGAUGCAGCCAUGCCGCGUGUGUGAAGAAGGCCUUCGGGUUGUAAAGCACUUUCAGCGGGGAGGAAGGCGGUGAGGUUAAUAACCUCAUCGAUUGACGUUACCCGCAGAAGAAGCACCGGCUAACUCCGUGCCAGCAGCCGCGGUAAUACGGAGGGUGCAAGCGUUAAUCGGAAUUACUGGGCGUAAAGCGCACGCAGGCGGUCUGUCAAGUCGGAUGUGAAAUCCCCGGGCUCAACCUGGGAACUGCAUUCGAAACUGGCAGGCUAGAGUCUUGUAGAGGGGGGUAGAAUUCCAGGUGUAGCGGUGAAAUGCGUAGAGAUCUGGAGGAAUACCGGUGGCGAAGGCGGCCCCCUGGACAAAGACUGACGCUCAGGUGCGAAAGCGUGGGGAGCAAACGGGAUUAGAUACCCGAGUAGUC